Molecule: long non-coding RNA, 428 nt
Organism: Pipra filicauda (Wire-tailed manakin)
Lineage: Eukaryota; Metazoa; Chordata; Aves; Passeriformes; Pipridae
Exons: 3
Source: RefSeq, a predicted model, not a curated record
UCCUUUUGGCAAAGGCUGGCUAGAGCAAGGCAAGCUUGGUAGUAGCUCUGAUUUAAGAGAUUCACAACUGCUUUUGUUCAGGAAUGAAGCUGGAACUGAGGAUGAGGUUUUCUGCUCCCUGCUGUCAUUGAGUGCAUCUUUGCUGAGAAGGGAUACCUGAGACAAAGUGAUGCUCGUGAGACAUCCAAACCAGGCAUUUUUACAACACUUGCAGUGGCAGCAGGUGUUUUCAGAAGUCAUCUUUAUGAAUUACAGGAUGAAGAGUUGGUGAAGAUGAAGCCACCUCUCAAGCUACAGUUGUGUUUUGACAUUCAGCAUUUGAAAUGCAGGAGAUUUAAGGAACUGGCUUAUGCUCCUCAUGACACACAGGAAUGAUCGAUGACGUGGGUGGGUACUCAACAUGAUUUGAGCUGCUUUCAAAUUUGGAA